Long non-coding RNA from Triticum dicoccoides, 2912 nucleotides. RefSeq lists it as uncharacterized. The record is from RefSeq and is a predicted model, not a curated record. NCBI's taxonomy places the organism in Eukaryota, Viridiplantae, Streptophyta, Magnoliopsida, Poales, Poaceae. The transcript is spliced from 3 exons.
UUGCUGCUCCUCCUCUCUCUCUCUCCGCACCUAGCAGUGCAGCAGCCGGGACAAGGGGAAGGAGCAGCUCAACCCGGCUCCAUCUCUCUCUGGAUGAGCAGGUGGCGAGGGAAGCCGCCACAGCUAGCGGCGGUGCUGCACAGGAACGUCCACCUCCAGGUCUCCAUCCUGUCUCAGAUCCCUUUCCGUUUCAGUGUUGUUCUUUUUUCUCUUGGUGUGCGCUCUCCUGCAUCUCGCGCGGCAGGGAGUGGUGGUGACUAGCAUAGAAGGCGGAGGAGGUCAUUGGAGCCGGCUUCCCUUCCGCUUUGGCUGCCAAGCUCCGCGCGUUGGUGAGUCCCUCUCUCUAUCCCUCUACAUCUCUCCCUCUCUCUGUCAGAGGGCAGCUACCAACCCCGAGGUGCAGGCGGCCAUGGAAAAGCAGAAGAUGCCACACCUAGCUUUCCCCCUUGCCUCCUGCCCUUUCUCUUCAGCUCAUUUAUUUACAUGUGCAAAUUCUCUUUUAUCUAUGCCUGCAAGGUGUUUGAUGAAAGUUCAGUAAGGCUGUGAGGGAAUACCAAACAAGAGAGGAUCCAGUAUCUGUAACAUGCAUCAGAUCAGCAGGGGGAAGGUCCAGGGUGAAACCUUCAGGAGGGAUUUGAUGUUGCUAUUGUUUCAGUUUGCAGAUAGAGGAUGUGAUUCCAGCAAGACAGAGACGAUGGCGAUGACAAGUGAGAUUUAUGUUAAGGAGUAUUAGCAUAUGCUCACAGGAUCACUGGAAGCUUAUAAAUGUAUCCGCAAUGAUUGUUGCUUUCUUAUUGACACAUAAUUGAAUUAUAAUUAUAGACAGUAAGAGUAGUUGUCUUUUCAUUUGUUAGAAAACAUAGUGUACCUUUAUAAUCGUAGUUAUAUGCAAUGAUCCAUCAUGUAUUUUUGUUUAAAACUGCAACCCGUAAUUGUUUGAUGUCAUUAAAUGUCUAUAUAUAUAUAUAUAUAUAUAUAUAUAUAUAUAUAUAGUUUACGUUCUUAAAUUAGCCUCCAUACUAUCUGCAUUGUCAUGGUAACCUUGGUAGGUCAUAAUAUGUAGAUCCAUAAUCCCGGUUCAAUUUGAGCUUUCCAUGUGAUUUUUUACCUGAAUAUUAGGAUCACAACUUAAUUAACUUAAAUUAGCAGUAUAGUGUCAAUGGACGUCAUCUGAAGCUAAUAAGAUGUUGUUUAUUGAAGAACAGCCCCUUGCUACUUGCACAGUACAUGAAAAGCACACUAAAUAGAUUAAAGAAAUCAUACUUGACUGUGAUUGCAUUUGGUUGAUGCUUACGUGUAUUUCUCAUGGGUAUACCAAGGGGGCAAUCUUCUAUAUUUCAGGUCCAAAGCUUUCAAUGCAUUUUUUUAUCUGUUUUUCAUGUCCCAAUGAUCAUCUGCAAGUCCGAAUUAUGCCAUUGUUGAUGGUGCACAGGUAUGUUGCAUGGUAAACCCAGUAUUGGCCCUCCUUUCAAGCUCCUGUGUUCAUCCUAGAUAAAAUUCUGGAAAAUACGUCGGAACUAUCUUUUAAUCUUCCAACAGUGUAUUGCUAUGAUUAUAUAUAUGGAUACAUCAUAUCGAUGUGUCUAGAGACCUAAAGCCUUAAGAGUUAAGUGCCAAACUGGGGACUGAUAUUAUAACUGCAGAUGGGCUUUAUUCAGGUAUUUUCUUGCCAUAAAUGAUGAUGUUUGCAGAUGGGCUUUGUUCAGUCAUAAGAGCUUAUCAGUUCAGCCUGCAUACUUUUGUUUCUUCAGUGUACUGUGUCUGAGGAAAGCAUUUAUUUUGUCUCCUGUUUAAGUGAAUUCAUGGCUAAGAUGGACGAAUUUCUAUUAUGUGGGCUGGAGGUUCUUGAGUUAGGGCACUAGCACUAGCUAAGCUUCCAUUCUGGUAAAAUGUAUGACAUGCUUGAUGAGCAUGCAUAUCUAUAUGGUUUUGUGGACACUGAUUUAGUUCCAUGCUAGUUUAUUUCCAGCAGUUGGUCUGCUUCUUCAUAGAGAUUUUAUUAGUACUAAAUUAAAUUAGAAACUGAAUGUGUGCUUCUUUCACCUUCAGUCUGAACAUGACAUUGCCUUAUUUGUGACACAGGUGGAAAUUAGCAAGCAAGAUACAGUCGGUGCAUGGAUGACCAAGAUUACUUAUUACUUUAUGAAGAUGAUGAUUCCUGCAUGUUGAUUGUGCUUCAAGGGUAGAAGAGGAUGGGAGGAGGGGACACGCGCUCUAUAUUUUGUUAUGCACACCUUUCUAAACUAUACUUGUCUUCUUAACACAUGUUCAUUGUCCAGUAGAAGCUGUAGAUUUCAGCGUACAAUAAUUUCCAAAAUGGCAGAAGGUAAGAACCAUGUUACACAUGAUCCUUUUGUGUUCUUUUGAUUUAAAGUAGCAUGUACCUGUUAAACUUGGAGAUGAUUUUCGUGGUGUAUUUAUAAAUUAUCAGCCAAGGUUAUUCCUUCAGGCAAUUUUUUCUUCCCUGAAGCAUAGGCAUAUUGGUUGUUUGGUUGGCUCUCUUUACUAGCACGAAGAUAACUACUAUGUGUUGCUUAGUUAUUAGCGGAUCAAGUGUAUGAAUGAUCUUAUGUUUACCCAGACUUAUAGGUUUCUAAAUACUAGGCUCUUGGGACUUAUUUCUAAGGGUUAGUUUUUUUUGGAUUCAUGUGCUCUGGUGCUACAACCUAGGUAAAGCUCCUUCACAAUAGUGUUUAAAGCUUAAAUUGAUAACUCCAUCAAAGUUAAAGCAUUAGGCUCUCUGCUCUGUGUACGGCCCAAAUGUUCUACAUAAUGCUUUAUAUAGUCCCAUUGUGACUUCUUUUGUUUUCUUAGCGGUCAGUGAUAUUUAAUAUUCAGUCAGAUCUUGGAGGAAAUGUAAAAUAUGCGAGCGUGUGUGCGUGCGUGUGCGUGCGUGUGUGUGUGUGUGUGUG